AUGGAAGCAGUAAACAUGUCCGCCGCCGCCGAUUGGUCUGGCCUACCAAUGGCGGCGCUGGAUGUUCCCAGCCUCGUCCGUUCCGGCGCCGUCUGCACGUCCUGGAGCGACGCCUACAACACCUUCCGCCUCCCCGCGCUGAAGCAAGCGCCGUGCCUGCUCUACGCCUGCGACGAGUACGGCCCCAACUACGCCGCCCUGUACUGCCCCUCCACCAACGCCACCUUCCGCGUCCCCUACCCGGGUCCCCCGCACGAGAAGCGGAGCUUCGUCUUCUCAUGUCACGGCUGGGUGUUCGCCACCGACGAGGUCGGCGACCCGUACCUCCUCAACCCCAUCACCGGCGUCCAGGCCGCGCUCCCGCCAGUCAAGACGAUCAUGGUCCGCGGUGAGAACUUCUACGACCAUGAAGGCAAGCAUGUCUUGGACCUCGAGAGUGAGGAUGAGAACGGAGAUCCGAAAACCGGCAUCUUCUGGGCACGAGAGGCGGAGUAUGCCCGGGUCGCCAUCUCCCCCGCAGCCGAGGUGACCGCAUGCACUGUCCUGAUUAUGCAUAUGACGCGUUUUACGCUCUUGUUUGCCAGGCCGGGCGACAAGCGCUGGACGUCGCUCCCCGACUUUGAAACCUGCAUCAAGGAUGUUCUUUAUAACGACAUGGACGGCUUGUUCUACGUUCUACACAAUAAAGGUUCCAUCCAUGCUUUGGAUCUCAAUGGAUCUUCGCCGUCGGUGACCAAGAUCACGCGAAACGUGACAAGAGCGAGUGUUGCCAAUAUGUACCUCGCCGUCAUGCCAUCGGGCCAACUCCUGCAGGUGUGGAGGAUGCAGAAUAACAUAGAUGUUCCGCUCAAGAAUCAUGCGUCAUACAAAGACGUGGUGCGCGUCGCGCUCCAAGAUUGCAUUGAUUUGGCAAACAAGAAUGACAGCGACAAGCUCAGUGAAACCGUCACCGAUGACGAACAACAGAUUGACGUUGAGGAGGAGGAGCUGCGUGAUAAUGAGGUCAACACAACGGAAGUCCUGGUCUUCAAGGUUGACGCAAAUAGGCAGAAGCUGGUAGAGCUUCGGGACAUUGGAGAGUACACAAUCUUCCUUGGAUUCAAUGCCGCUGUCUGCCUUUCGACUAAGGACACAACAUUAGAAGCAAACUGCAUCUAUCUCACGGACGAUGUCGACUCUCCAUCCUAUCACCCGAUGUUGCGGAGAGAUCUUGGUAUAUGGAACAUCAAGAAGAGAAGUAUGCAGAAACUUGGGGAUGCGUGGCCAAUCAUGCAUUCUUGGCUAGAUUUACCGGCUCCAAUUUGGAUCACACCAAGUUUAGCAUGGACGGCGUGCUUGGCGCCGCCAAUUGCAGGGAGCGCGGCGACCACGGCGCCGCAUGCGAGGAGGAGGAGUGGACGACGCCGCGUUCGACAACGUCGAUGA
RNAcentral lists this ribosomal RNA (1425 nucleotides) under Triticum aestivum (bread wheat). RNAcentral's name for it is "partial small subunit ribosomal RNA". The record is from RNAcentral. Lineage: Eukaryota; Viridiplantae; Streptophyta; Magnoliopsida; Poales; Poaceae.